CAAGUCGAACGAUUAAAGCUCCCUUCGGGGAGUGCAUAAAGUGGCGCACGGGUGAGUAACACGUAAGUAAUCUACCCUCGAGUGGGGAAUAACGUCCGGAAACGGACGCUAAUACCGCAUGAUGCAGCGGCACCGCAAGGUGACAGUUGUUAAAGAUUUAUCGCUUGAGGAGGAGCUUGCGGCAGAUUAGCUAGUUGGUAAGGUAAUGGCUUACCAAGGCUACGAUCUGUAACCGGUCUAAGAGGACGGUCGGUCACACUGACACUGAAUAACGGGUCAGACUCCUACGGGAGGCAGCAGUCGGGAAUUUUGGGCAAUGGGCGAAAGCCUGACCCAGCAACGCCGCGUGAAGGAUGAAGUAUUUCGGUAUGUAAACUUCGAAAGAAUAGGAAGAAUAAAUGACGGUACUAUUUAUAAGGUCCGGCUAACUACGUGCCAGCAGCCGCGGUAAUACGUAGGGACCAAGCGUUGUUCGGAUUUACUGGGCGUAAAGGGCGCGUAGGCGGCUUGUCAAGUCACUUGUGAAAUCUCUGGGCUUAACCCAGAACGGCCAAGUGUAACUGACAUGCUAGAGUGCAGAAGGGGCAAUCGGAAUUCUUGGUGUAGCGGUGAAAUGCGUAGAUAUCAAGAGGAACACCUGAGGUGAAGACGGGUUGCUGGGCUGACACUGACGCUGAGGCGCGAAAGCCAGGGGAGCAAACGGGAUUAGAUACCCCGGUAGUCCUGGCCCUAAACGAUGAAUACUUGGUGUCUGGAGUUAUUAGUGCUCCGGGUGCCGUCGCUAACGUUUUUAGUAUUCCGCCUGGGGAGUACGCUCGCAAGAGUGAACUCAAAGGAAUUGA
This 842-nucleotide ribosomal RNA is filed under the name uncultured Bacillota bacterium. RNAcentral's name for it is "bacterial SSU rRNA". It matches the Rfam family "Bacterial small subunit ribosomal RNA", at positions 58 to 913 of the family's 1533-position model. Lineage: Bacteria; Bacillati; Bacillota. The record is from RNAcentral.